This 465-nucleotide ribosomal RNA is filed under the name uncultured bacterium. RNAcentral's name for it is "partial 16S ribosomal RNA". It matches the Rfam family "Bacterial small subunit ribosomal RNA", at positions 28 to 507 of the family's 1533-position model. The record is from RNAcentral.
GACGAACGCUGGCGGCGUGCUUAACACAUGCAAGUCGAACGGAAAGGCCCUGCUUGCAGGGUACUCGAGUGGCGAACGGGUGAGUAACACGUGGGUGAUCUGCCCUGCACUUCGGGAUAAGCCUGGGAAACUGGGUCUAAUACCGGAUAGGAGCCAUUUUUAGUGUGAUGGUUGGAAAGUUUUUUCGGUGUAGGAUGAGCUCGCGGCCUAUCGGCUUGUUGGUGGGGUAAUGGCCUACCAAGGCGGCGACGGGUAGCCGGCCUGAGAGGGUGGACGGCCACAUUGGGACUGAGAUACGGCCCAGACUCCGACGGGAGGCAGCAGUGGGGAAGAUUGCACAAUGGGCGCAAGCCUGAUGCAGCGACGCCGCGUGGGGGAUGACGGCCUUCGGGUUGUAAACUCCUUUCGCUAGGGACGAAGCUUUUUGUGACGGUACCUAGAUAAGAAGCACCGGCUAACUACGUG